RNAcentral lists this ribosomal RNA (462 nucleotides) under uncultured bacterium. RNAcentral describes it as "partial 16S ribosomal RNA". It matches the Rfam family "Bacterial small subunit ribosomal RNA", at positions 338 to 795 of the family's 1533-position model. The record is from RNAcentral.
CCUACGGGUGGCAGCAGUGAGGAAUAUUGGUCAAUGGCCGGAAGGCUGAACCAGCCAAGCCGCGUGAAGGACGAAGGUGCCAAGCAUUGUAAACUUCUUUUGUCAAGGGACAAAAUCAGGCUCGAGAGCCUGCCCGAGGGUACUUGAAGAACAAGCAUCGGCUAACUCCGUGCCAGCAGCCGCGGUAAUACGUAGGAUCCGAGCAUUAUCCGGAGUGACUGGGUGUAAAGAGUUGCGUAGGUGGCAUAAUAAGUAGCUAGUGAAAUCUGGUGGCUCAACCAUUCAGACUAUUAGCUAAACUGUUAAGCUCGAGACCGUUAGGGGUAACUGGAAUUUCUAGUGUAGGAGUGAAAUCCGUAGAUAUUAGAAGGAACACCAAUAGCGUAGGCAGGUUACUGGGACGGUUCUGACACUAAGGCACGAAAGCGUAGGGAGCAAACGGGAUUAGAUACCCCCGUAGUC